Non-coding RNA from Pelobates cultripes (western spadefoot toad), 240 nucleotides. The record is from the annotation of a GenBank genome assembly. NCBI's taxonomy places the organism in Eukaryota, Metazoa, Chordata, Amphibia, Anura, Pelobatidae.
GGGUGACUAGUGACAGAGUGAGGGAAGGGGUGACUAGUGGCACAGUGAGGGAAGGAAGGGGUGACUAGUGACAGAGUGAGGGAGGUGGUGACUGUCACUAGUCACCACCUCCCUCACUCUGUCACUAGUCACCACCUCCCUCUGUCACUAGUCAUCCCCUCCCUCACUCUGUCACAUGUCAUCCCCUUCCCUCUCUCUGUCACUAAUCACUCCCUCCUAACUCUGUCACUGUGUCACCCC